RNAcentral lists this ribosomal RNA (954 nucleotides) under Triticum aestivum (bread wheat). Its description in RNAcentral is "partial small subunit ribosomal RNA". Lineage: Eukaryota; Viridiplantae; Streptophyta; Magnoliopsida; Poales; Poaceae. The record is from RNAcentral.
AUGUCGUCGAAGAAGAUAGAGCUAGACCACAAUGACAUGGUUCAUGAUUCUGCCAUUGACUACUAUGGGAAGCGCCUUGCCACAGCCUCCUCUGACUCCACUGUGAAGAUCACCAGCAUUGGAGGUGCAUCUGCCCCGUCCCAGCUUGUUGCGACCCUCACUGGCCACUAUGGUCCUGUGUGGCGUGUCGGAUGGGCCCAUCCCAAGUAUGGUUCCAUUCUCGCAUCCUGCGGCUAUGAUGGCCGUGUGAUAGUCUGGAAGGAGGCUGCCACUGGGCAAUGGUCUCAGCUCCAUGUGUUUGACAACCACAAGGCCUCAGUUAACUCCAUUGCUUGGGCUCCAUAUGAACUUGGCCUUUGCCUUGCCUGUGGGUCUUCUGACGGCACCAUCUCUGUCAUCUCCAUGCGGCCUGAUACAGGAGGAUGUGACGCUGCAACCAUUGAGCGGGCGCACCCUGUUGGCGUGACAGCAGUCUCCUGGGCUCCAGCAGCAGCACUCGGGUCCAUGGUUGGCUCAGAUCAGCUCGUCCACAAGAUCGUGUCUGGUGGCUUUGACUGUGUCGUCAAGGUGUGGGAGUUUGUCAAUGGUGGCUGGAAGCUGGAGAGCGCUCUGGUCUCCGACAUGCACAAAGAGUGCGUGAGAGAUGUCUCAUGGGCACCGGUCCUGGGCCUGGCAAAGUCCACCAUCGCCAGCGCGUCCCAAGACGGCAAGGUUGUCAUCUGGACCAGUGGCAAAGGAGGAGGCAAGUGGGAAGGAAAGCUCAUGCGUGACUUCGAGGCUCCGGUGUGGAGGGUGUCCUGGUCCCUGACGGGAAACAUCCUGUCCGUGGCUGCCGGCGAGGGCGACAUAACUCUGUGGAAGGAGUCGUCAGACGGGCAGUGGGAGUCGCUGUGGACCAAGGCCUCAGAGGAGCCGCCGCAGGAGGAGCAGGCGAUAGAGGAGGCCAUGCAGUAG